RNAcentral lists this ribosomal RNA (472 nucleotides) under uncultured bacterium. RNAcentral's name for it is "bacterial SSU rRNA". It matches the Rfam family "Bacterial small subunit ribosomal RNA", at positions 328 to 793 of the family's 1533-position model. The record is from RNAcentral.
CUCUGUGACUCCUACGGGAGGCAGCAGUGGGGAAUAUUGCACAAUGGGGGAAACCCUGAUGCAGCCAUGCCGCGUGUGUGAAGAAGGCCUUCGGGUUGUAAAGCACUUUCAGUAGGGAGGAAGGUAGUGUAGUUAACACCUGCAUUAUUUGACGUUACCUACAGAAGAAGCACCGGCUAACUCCGUGCCAGCAGCCGCGGUAAUACGGAGGGUGCGAGCGUUAAUCGGAAUUACUGGGCGUAAAGCGCAUGCAGGCGGCCUGUUAAGUCAGAUGUGAAAGCCCCGGGGCUUAACCUCGGAAUUGCAUUUGAAACUGGCAGGCUAGAGUCUUGUAGAGGGGGUAGAAUUUCAGGUGUAGCGGUGAAAUGCGUAGAGAUCUGAAGGAAUACCAGUGGCGAAGGCGGCCCCCUGGACAAAGACUGACGCUCAGAUGCGAAAGCGUGGGGAGCAAACAGGAUUAGAUACCCUGUAG